AUAAAUACAGUGAAAAGAAAGAGUAGAUUAUUGAACAAGCGUAGAGAAUUCUUGGUUGGUGAAAAAGAAUGUUGGAAUAUAAUUGAAUUCAUCUUGGAGUAGACGGCUGAAUAAAGUAGGCUUAGUCCGGGAAUGCCCGUUAUCGCAUCAGAGUAUGAACCUAACAAUAGGCGUACUUAUGAAGGUUUCUAUAGUGAUAUAGAAAUAAACUAAGGUGGUAACACGAAAGAUCUAUCUCUCGUCCUUAUG
RNAcentral lists this non-coding RNA (249 nucleotides) under Candidatus Stoquefichus. Its description in RNAcentral is "T-box sequence". It matches the Rfam family "T-box leader". Rfam says of the family: Uncharged tRNA acts as the effector for transcription antitermination of genes in the T-box leader family. T-boxes are found upstream of many aminoacyl-tRNA synthetase genes and some amino acid biosynthetic genes usually in Gram-positive bacteria. Lineage: Bacteria; Bacillati; Bacillota; Erysipelotrichia; Erysipelotrichales; Erysipelotrichaceae. The record is from RNAcentral.